This 76-nucleotide transfer RNA is filed under the name Bradyrhizobium elkanii. RNAcentral describes it as "tRNA-Pro". It matches the Rfam family "tRNA". From Rfam's summary of the family: Transfer RNA (tRNA) molecules are approximately 80 nucleotides in length. Their secondary structure includes four short double-helical elements and three loops (D, anti-codon, and T loops). The record is from RNAcentral. Lineage: Bacteria; Pseudomonadati; Pseudomonadota; Alphaproteobacteria; Hyphomicrobiales; Nitrobacteraceae.
CAGGGCGUGGGGUAGCGGCUAACCCGCCGGUUUUGGGUACCGGAAGCCGUCGGUUCGAGUCCGACCGCCUUGACCA